UCUGGUGUCAGCCGCCGCGGUAAAACCAGCACCUCAAGUGGUCAGGAUGAUUAUUGGGCCUAAAGCAUCCGUAGCCUGCUUUGCCAGUUUUCGGUUAAAUCCAUACGCUCAACGUAUGGGCUGCCGGGAAUACUACAAAGCUAGGGAGUGGGAGAGGUAGACGGUACUCGGUAGGAAGGGGUGAAAUCCUUUGAUCUAUUGAUGACCACCUGUGGCGAAGGCGGUCUACCAGAACACGUCCGACGGUGAGGGAUGAAAGCUGGGGGAGCAAACCGGAUUAGAUACCCGGGUAGUCCCAGCUGUAAACUAUGCAAACUCAGUGAUGCAUUGGCUUGAUGCCAAUGCAGUGCUGCAGGGAAGCCGUUAAGUUUGCCGCCUGGGAAGUACGUACGCAAGUAUGAAACUUAAAG
Molecule: ribosomal RNA, 410 nt
Filed under: uncultured Nitrososphaerota archaeon
Lineage: Archaea; Thermoproteati; Nitrososphaerota
Description: bacterial SSU rRNA
Rfam family: Archaeal small subunit ribosomal RNA
Source: RNAcentral